CGUGCAUACCCUCUCUCAGAUGCUAUCACGUGUCCCACCUACUCAUCUGACGAUAUCUGCUCCUCCGCUCCGUUCGUGGCUUCUCUCGGCUCCGAAACGAAAGCUCGGCUCCAAACUACAUGUGAUCCCGGCUCCUUGACGAGACGAGGCCAGCGGAGGUGGAGGCCCACGCAGCCGAGUCGGCUCAGGGCAUCCCUUUCCUUUCUCUGCCAGUCGCCGGCUCCAAGGUCCGCCGCCGGAGUCCCCUGCCCCGCCGCCUCGUGCGCCACGAUGGAGGACAGGACGCGCCGCUCGCCCCCUCCUUCUCCGCCUCAGGCGGCGGCCUCUCCCUCCACCACGGGCACCUACUGCAUCUCGCCCAUAACUGCUUCAUGUAUAAAAGCUUGUGGCAGACUUCAAGGAGAAAUUGUCAAAUCCACGACCGUGAGGGACUAGUGAACAAAGAGAGAACGGGACGCCACAUACUCGUGCAGCAGCCACGCUCCGCUGGACAAAGACCCUCAAGUACACCACUGCAACAAAACAACUGCCGAGGAAACCUUUGGAGAAGACUCCAUGCUUCCUAAUAGAGUAGACUUGGCCUAGGAAUAUCAAAUUUUGUAAAUUUGGAGUUGGACAACUGUUGUAUCGCUGUAGAGCUGAUUGCUCUCCUUGACAAUGUACAAUAACUUGUGUACAGUGUACCUUUUCAUUUGAAAUACAUAUGGAUGAUUUGAA
Triticum dicoccoides is the source of this 717-nucleotide long non-coding RNA. RefSeq lists it as uncharacterized. The transcript has 2 exons. The record is from RefSeq and is a predicted model, not a curated record. Lineage: Eukaryota; Viridiplantae; Streptophyta; Magnoliopsida; Poales; Poaceae.